This 450-nucleotide ribosomal RNA is filed under the name uncultured Glomeromycotina. RNAcentral's name for it is "SSU rRNA". It matches the Rfam family "Eukaryotic small subunit ribosomal RNA", at positions 569 to 1021 of the family's 1831-position model. The record is from RNAcentral. Lineage: Eukaryota; Fungi; Glomeromycota.
CGCAGCCGCGGUAAUUCCAGCUCCAAUAGCGUAUAUUAAAGUUGCUGCAGUUAAAAAGCUCGUAGUUGAAUUUCGGGACCAAUAUGUCGGUCGUGCCUCGGUACGUACUGGCAUCGUUGGUUUCUCCUUUCUGAAGAACCAUGAUGUCAUUUAUUUGGUGUCGUGGGGAAUCAGGACUGUUACUUUGAAAAAAAUUAGAGUGUUUAAAGCAGGCUCACGCUUGAAUACAUUAGCAUGGAAUAAUGAAAUAGGACGUUUGAUUCUAUUUUGUUGGUUUCUAGGAUCGACGUAAUGAUUAAUAGGGAUAGUUGGGGGCAUUAGUAUUCAAUUGUCAGAGGUGAAAUUCUUGGAUUUUAUUGAAGACUAACUACUGCGAAAGCAUUUGCCAAGGAUGUUUUCAUUAAUCAAGUAACGAAAGUUAGGGGAUCGAAGACGAUCAGAUACCGUCGU